AGCUUGUUGGUGGGGUAACGGCUCUAAACCUAGGCGCGAUCCCUAGCUGGUCUGAGAGGAUGACCAGCCACACUGGAACUGAGACACGGUCCAGACUCUCUACGAGGCAGCAGUGGGGAAUAUUGCACAAUGGGCGCAAGCCUGAUGCAGCCAUGCCAGCGAGUAUGUAAGAGACCUUCGAGUUGUAAAGUACUUUCAGCGGGAAGGAAGGGAGUAAAGUUAAUACCUUUACUCAUUGACGUUACCCGCAGAAGAAGCACCGGCUAACCCCGUGCCAGCAGCCGCCGUAAAACGAAAGGGUGCAAGCGUUAAUCGGGAACUACUGGGCGUAAAGCGCACGCAGGCGGUUUGUUAAGUCAGAUGUGAAAUCCCCGGGGCUAACCUGGGAACUGCUUAUCUGAUACUGGGCAAGCUUGAGUCUCGUAGAGGGGGGGUAGAAAAUUCCAGGUGUAGCGGUGAAAGUGCGUAGAGAUCUGGAGGGAAUACCGGUGGCGAAGGCGGGCCCCCUGGACAAGAAGACUGACGCUCAGGUGGCGAAAGCGUUUGGGGAGCAAACAGGAUUAGAUACCCUGGUAGUCCACGCCGUAAACGAUGUCCUUGGAGGUGGUGUGCCCUUGAGGCGUGGCUUCCGGAGCUAACGCGUUAAGUCGAACCGCCUGGGGAGUACGGCGCAAGGGUUAAAACUUUCAAAUGAAUUGACGGGGGCCCGCACAAGCGGUGGAAAGCAUGUGGUUUAAUGUCGGCAACGCGAAGAACCCUUACCCUGGUCUUGACAUCCCACGGGAAAGUUUUACAGAGAUGAGAAUGUGCCUUCCGGGGAAACCGUGGGACAGGUGCUGCAUGACUGGUCGUCAGCUCGUGCUGUGAAAUGUUGGGAUAGUCCCGCAACGAGGCUGCCAACCCAUAUCAUUUGGUUGCCAAGCGAUUCCGGCCGGGAACUCAAAGGAGUGCCAGUGAUAAACUGGAGGAAGGUGGGGAUGACGUCAAGUCAUCAUGGCCCCUUACGACCAGGGCUACACACGUGCUACUAAUGGCGCA
Molecule: ribosomal RNA, 1038 nt
Filed under: Escherichia coli
Lineage: Bacteria; Pseudomonadati; Pseudomonadota; Gammaproteobacteria; Enterobacterales; Enterobacteriaceae
Description: bacterial SSU rRNA
Rfam family: Bacterial small subunit ribosomal RNA
Source: RNAcentral